AAGUCGUAACAAGGUAACCGUAGGUGAACCUGCGGUUGGAUCAUUAAUAAAACUAAUUUGCGGUUUUAAGUAACCGCAAAUUAAUUUAGACCCCUUUGUGAACUGUAAACGUACUUUGGCAGCCCUCCAAAAAUCUUUUUUCUCCUUCCUCUCCCCCUUUACCGGGGGGUGGGAAAAGAAAAAAGACUGGGCUGUCAGUUUAGUUAAACACCUGUUUUAUUAUCUAUAGUAUUAAUGAGCAGCGAAAAGACUCCACUUGUGUGUGGGUUGCUUCAAAGCUACAUUUCUUUAUUGAAAUGAUUUGAAAACAACUUUUGACAACGGAUCUCUUGGCUCUC
Molecule: unclassified non-coding RNA, 338 nt
Filed under: Delfinachytrium mesopotamicum
Lineage: Eukaryota; Fungi; Chytridiomycota; Chytridiomycetes; Chytridiales
Description: partial internal transcribed spacer region
Rfam family: Eukaryotic small subunit ribosomal RNA (bases 1-46)
Source: RNAcentral